CGAGUUAUAUCUUAGUGAUGGUAUUAUUUACAUUAAUAUUUUGGUUCGUGCAAUUCGGCCUAACUUGA
This 68-nucleotide transfer RNA is filed under the name Dicranocephalus sp. RNAcentral describes it as "tRNA-Val". Lineage: Eukaryota; Metazoa; Arthropoda; Insecta; Hemiptera; Stenocephalidae. The record is from RNAcentral.